GGCUCCUUGUUGAAAGCUGAAAUAUAAGGGGUCGGACCUGCCCGGUGACUAGUAUGUUAAACGGCCGCGGUACCCUAACCGUGCAAAGGUAGCAUAAUCAUUUGCCUUUUAAUUGGAGGCUUGUAUGAAUGGUUUGACGAGAGCUAAGCUGUCUCUUUUGAAAUAUUUAGAAAUUAACUUUUAGGUGAAGAGGCCUAAAUGUCGUUGAGGGACAAGAAGACCCUGUUGAGCUUUAGUGAUAUAUUAAGGUAAAAUAAAUAUGGUUGGGGCUUGAAGGAGUCUGAAUUGAUAUUUUUAGUUGUAUUUAUAUAAUAUUUUUUGAUAGUAAUCUUUAGUUGGGGCGACUGAGGAACAUUUAUAGCUUCCUUUGAAAUUGAAAAUAAGCAUGUAUUUAUUUACUAGAAAAAUGUGUGUGCAGAUUAGAAUUGAUCCAGUAGAAUAAUAUUGAUUAAAGGAAGAAGUUACCACAGGGAUAACAGCGUAAUCUUUCUGGAGAGAUCUUAUCGAAAGAAGGGUUUGCGACCUCGAUGUUGGACUAAGAUAUCCUGAGGGUGUAGAAGUUCUCGAUGGUUGGUCUGUUCGACCAUUAAAAUCUU
Molecule: ribosomal RNA, 596 nt
Filed under: Clanculus microdon
Lineage: Eukaryota; Metazoa; Mollusca; Gastropoda; Trochida; Trochidae
Description: partial 16S rRNA
Rfam family: Bacterial large subunit ribosomal RNA
Source: RNAcentral